AACGAACGCUGGCGGCAUGCCUAACACAUGCAAGUCGAACGAGACCUUCGGGUCUGGUGGCGCACGGGUGCGUAACGCGUGGGAACCUGCCCUUAGGUUCGGAAUAACUCCCCGAAAGGGGUGCUAAUACCGGAUAAUGUCUUCGGACCAAAGAUUUAUCGCCUUUGGAUGGGCCCGCGUUGGAUUAGCUAGUUGGUAGGGUAAAAGCCUACCAAGGCGACGAUCCAUAGCUGGUCUGAGAGGAUGAUCAGCCACACUGGGACUGAGACACGGCCCAGACUCCUACGGGAGGCAGCAGUGGGGAAUAUUGGACAAUGGGCGAAAGCCUGAUCCAGCAAUGCCGCGUGAGUGAUGAAGGCCUUAGGGUUGUAAAGCUCUUUUACCCGGGAUGAUAAUGACAGUAACGGGAGAAUAAGCUCCGGCUAACUCCGUG
This 433-nucleotide ribosomal RNA is filed under the name uncultured bacterium. Its description in RNAcentral is "partial 16S ribosomal RNA". It matches the Rfam family "Bacterial small subunit ribosomal RNA", at positions 29 to 507 of the family's 1533-position model. The record is from RNAcentral.